Molecule: long non-coding RNA, 2717 nt
Filed under: Diabrotica virgifera virgifera (western corn rootworm)
Lineage: Eukaryota; Metazoa; Arthropoda; Insecta; Coleoptera; Chrysomelidae
Description: uncharacterized LOC126881128
Source: RNAcentral
GCAAUGCCUAUACCAUAGAGAAAUAAAAAAAAGAGAGACGUCAAAGGAUAGGGAAUAACUGGCACAAUCUUUCUGCGCAGGUAAGUAGCACAUAGGGGCGCUGCUGUUUCUGAAACUAAAAUUUACCCAUGGUACAAUAAAGUAUUUUGAUUGUACCGUGAAGAAAAUUUACAUUUUUGACAAUUGACAUUGACUUUGUGUUUUUAGGACGCCAUUUUGUUGUGAAAAUUUGCAAUUUCCCGGCCCGGCAUAAAUAGAUAAUUUGGCGGUUUGUACAUGGUUUGUACUGAAUACUACUGAACUGAACAUAUUUUCAUUACUGGAUAGUGCCGGAAUUGCUGAAAUUGAAUAUCGGAUUGGGAGUAUAGACAGACUCGACAAAGACAUCAACUUUUGAAAAGGAUAAUUACGAAGUACAGCAACAUUGAAGAUAACAUUAAUGUCAUUAGGAACUUGGAAUUACAGAGAAGUGAUAUAGACUAAUCAUCAUCAUCAUCAGCCCCUCUAGAUCCACUGCUGGACAUAGGUCUCCCAUGUUUGUAGACAAGUAGACUAAUAGAAUAACAAGUAUAGUGUAAGUACAUGUAAGUAGGUAGGUUAACACCUUGGCUACCGUGUGAGAUGCCAGCAUUUCACACAAAAUAUUGACUGUAAUACCGUGUGAGACGCUGGCUUCCAUUGUUAUUAAAUGAUUUAAAAUGCUCUAAAGCGAGAGUUUUUAGUUUCUCAUAUUGGUUUCAAAAUAAGGAUAAAAUGGUACAAAAUUACAGGUUAUUAGUUUAAGUGAUCGCUAACCAAGGUGUUAAACGUUAAUAAAGGUAGUUAUAUUGUAUGUAGGUACAGUUGAGUCCAUGGUUCUCAUUAAUACCUGGAGAGAUAAAACACAUACUUGUUACUUAGCACCAUUGUGUUCCACACAUGACACUAAAGACAAACCAGCUACUGCCUGUUAUUAAGUAAACAUACAUGUUAUUUUUAGAUUCAGUACAUCGAAAAAAUAGAGGUGCAAAAAAGACGCUUGGGGACGUUUUCAGAUUUAAGUACAAUUUGCAACAUUUCUGGUUUGUUUAUUGUUUGUUUUUCACAACUAAUUUUAUUUUGGCAUUAAUUUACAUACAAAGUUCACCUCAUUCACAGAGAUUGUCAUAACCACUUUCUGCCAAUGGACUCAACUGUAAAAUUAGUUUAUCAUUUUAUAGUGUAAAUACAAAUAAAAAACUAGUAUUGUAACAAAAGUCAGUGUUUUGUAAGUAGGUAGGUUAAAUAUCAAUAAAGGUUCUGUUUAGUUACAAUUUAUAGUGGUUAUAUUGUAUGUAGGUAAUAUUAGUUUAUCAUUUUGCAAUGUCAAAUUCUAAAUCCAAACCCAGUAAAUAUGUUCACGGAUUUUUAGCUUUCUAUUGUAAUAACAAGUAUUUUCAUCCUGUCACAGACCCAGAGUAUACAAAUAAAAAGUUUUUUAGAUUUCCAGAUAAAGAUUUAAAAAGACGUCAUGACUGGUUUAAAAUUAUUGGUAUUGAAUUUACUGAAACUAGGUGUUAUUUAUGUGAAGAUCAUUUUGAGGAAACACAAUUUACAAGCAGUUUAAAAACAAAACUAUUAAAUAAUGCAGUGCCCUCCAAAAUAAUUCACAUAUCCAAUGUCCAUGAUCAACUUUUGCCUAUACCUGCACAUUCUUCUGAUGAAAUCUCUGUUUCAAAUGUACACAUUUUUAGUAACAAAGAAAUAGUUCCUCCAUUAAUAACCCAGUCAAGAAUAAACGCUCAAUUUCCAGUCAGCAUGAUAAUGAGUAUAGUAUUACGCCUAAUUUAGACCUAAACACCUAAACAUAUUACACCUAAACAUUAGAAAAAAAGCCGCAACUCGAUAAAACUGCCUUGUCGAAAAAACACUAAGAGCCGAAAAGUUUUAAAAAUAUUGAAUUUAACUAAUGGUAUCACCAUAAUAAUUUCAUUGGAACGUACACAAGAGUUUGGGGGGUUUAAGGGAACAAAACCCCCAUAAAAUUUUUAUGGGGUACACAAAUUUCACAAUAAUUUUUCUUUAAGAUAUUCCUGCCAUAAAAAUGCCACAUGUCCAUUUUCAAUAAAAAAUCUCUAAUAGUUUUCAAUAUAUUCGAAAAAAUCGAUUUUCAUUUUGUAACUUCAAAGGGCUGUAACUUUUUUUAUGUGUAUAUUUGUAAUAAGGUAAGUUAGGUUCAUUCAAACUAUUUUUGGUCAAAGAAUAGGUGAUUUAGUUUAUGACCUGUAUUUUUGUUACACUCUGUAUAUAUGUAUGCUAUUUUUCUAAAAAGUUCUGAGGGAAAUGUAGAAUAACUUAUAAGGUUUUUUUAGGCUACUAGACAAAUUUGUAAUAUAUAUCUGCAUUUUGUAAAAGAUAAGAUAAUUAAAGAAUAAAGAGCGGGGACAUGCAUGCAUUUUGUGUUGAUCUGUGUUUUACAUCAUUAUUUCAAAACAAUUUUACUGCAUAGAUUUUCUUAUUUUGUUUUAUCAGCACUCCAUACAUGCAUGCGAAGUGGGGGGUCCCCGUGAGGAUUAAUAAAAAUAUAAUAUAUGUAGUUUUUUUCCCAGUGUUUAUAUUAUUUUCUAUUUUUCUGAAAGUUCUGAAAAAAAAUAUUUUUCUUUAGAUAUUUUUAGGCUACUAAUCAAACUAGUAAUAUCUGCAUUUUGUAAAAUAUAAGAUGAAUAAAGAGGUCGCCGUGAAGAUUAAUAAAAAUAAAA